Molecule: ribosomal RNA, 253 nt
Filed under: uncultured bacterium
Lineage: Bacteria
Description: partial 16S ribosomal RNA
Rfam family: Bacterial small subunit ribosomal RNA
Source: RNAcentral
UACGUAGGGUGCAAGCGUUAAUCGGAAUUACUGGGCGUAAAGCGUGCGCAGGCGGUGAUGUAAGACAGGUGUGAAAUCCCCGGGCUUAACCUGGGAACUGCAUUUGUGACUGCAUCGCUGGAGUGCGGCAGAGGGGGAUGGAAUUCCGCGUGUAGCAGUGAAAUGCGUAGAUAUGCGGAGGAACACCGAUGGCGAAGGCAAUCCCCUGGGCCUGCACUGACGCUCAUGCACGAAAGCGUGGGGAGCAAACAGA